GACGAACGCUGGCGGCGUGCUUAACACAUGCAAGUCGAACGGAAAGGCCCUGCUUUUGUGGGGUGCUCGAGUGGCGAACGGGUGAGUAACACGUGAGUAACCUGCCCUUGACUUUGGGAUAACUUCAGGAAACUGGGGCUAAUACCGGAUAGGAGCUCCUGCUGCAUGGUGGGGGUUGGAAAGUUUCGGCGGUUGGGGAUGGACUCGCGGCUUAUCAGCUUGUUGGUGGGGUAGUGGCUUACCAAGGCUUUGACGGGAAGCCGGCCUGAGAGGGUGACCGGCCACAUUGGGACUGAGAUACGGCCCAGACUCCUACGGGAGGCAGCAGUGGGGAAUAUUGCACAAUGGGCGGAGGCCUGAUGCAGCAACGCCGCGUGCGGGAUGACGGCCUUCGGGUUGUAAACCGCUUUCGCCUGUGACGAAGCGUGAGUGACGGUAAUGGGUAAAGAAGCACCGGCUAACUACGUG
RNAcentral lists this ribosomal RNA (468 nucleotides) under uncultured bacterium. Its description in RNAcentral is "partial 16S ribosomal RNA". It matches the Rfam family "Bacterial small subunit ribosomal RNA", at positions 28 to 507 of the family's 1533-position model. The record is from RNAcentral.